Molecule: long non-coding RNA, 592 nt
Filed under: Bos taurus (domestic cattle)
Lineage: Eukaryota; Metazoa; Chordata; Mammalia; Artiodactyla; Bovidae
Description: long non-coding RNA NONBTAT001881
Source: RNAcentral
AAUUAUUUUAAAAUGUGUUUAGCGAAACCCUUCCCACACUUAAGUUUCUUUUUUUUUUAAGGGAAAUAAAUAUGUAAGGUGAUAGUUCUGUAUCUCAGCUUCUCUGAGAACUCUGGGCUAUUGCUUUUUUUUAGCCACUUUUGUCCUUUUGUGUUUAUUAUUGGUAGAAUUGUGUUUUAGAUUAUAAAUCUUCCUUGAUAACAUUACAAAUUCAAUCAAAACUUCUUGCUUAAUAAUUGUCGUAUAAAUUUGAAUUAGAGACCCAGGUGGAUGAAUGCCUGGGCAAACCAUGUGAAACCUGGGUGGGUUUUGCACUUAAGAGUUGGUAAAAUUGAUCUCUUGAGUUUAGGUAACUGUAUAGUUCAAGGAAUGGGCAAGAAAUCCAUCCUUAGACUGAUAAAAGGGAAAUUUUUGACCUAAGAACUCUGAAACAACAUUGUUUUCAGUCUACCCUGGAUUGCUUUCUCGUAGGCCACAGUCCAACUAUCUUAAGGUUUUUUGCUGUGUAAACUUCAACCAGCCAACAAGCCAAUGAAAAAGCAAGCUUUGGUCUUGUUUGUUUCUGGGAAGGGUUUUAUUUCAUUACUCUGAU